GGAGAAGCAAAGUGAUGAGCAUUGCUGGCUGGAGCCCCAAAGAGGCACGUGUGUGUGUGUGUGUGUGUGUGUGUGUGUGUGUGUGUGUAUCUGUGCCCUUGUCUGUGCAUGCACACAUAUGUGUGGGAGUAUGAGUAUGUGUGACUGGUUUUAGGGAACUAGUUAUGUGCCUUCUGUUGGACCAUGACAGUCAAACUGAUAAGAUCUGAUUGCUUC
Molecule: small nucleolar RNA, 216 nt
Filed under: Suricata suricatta (meerkat)
Lineage: Eukaryota; Metazoa; Chordata; Mammalia; Carnivora; Herpestidae
Description: Small nucleolar RNA ZL1 (ENSSSUG00005017043.1)
Rfam family: Small nucleolar RNA ZL1
About the family: Host gene TRRAP. Predicted target U2@U47.
Source: Rfam by way of RNAcentral